UACAUGUGGGGCAAGCGUUGUUCGGAAUUACUGGGCAUAAAGGGUGCGCAGGCGGCCGUGUGUGUGAGGCGUGAAAGCCCGGGGCUCAACCCCGGAAUUGCACCUCAAACUACAUGGCUAGAGCAUUGGAGAGGGUAGCGGAAUUCACGGUGUAGCAGUGAAAUGCGUAGAUAUCGUGAGGAACACCAGAGGCGAAGGCGGCUACCUGGACAAUUGCUGACGCUCAGGCACGAAAGCGUGGGGAGCAAAAGGG
RNAcentral lists this ribosomal RNA (253 nucleotides) under uncultured bacterium. Its description in RNAcentral is "partial 16S ribosomal RNA". It matches the Rfam family "Bacterial small subunit ribosomal RNA", at positions 524 to 776 of the family's 1533-position model. The record is from RNAcentral.